AUCUUGACCCCCCCCCCCUUGCCUUAGAAAACUGCUUGGCACAUAGUAGUUCAAUGAACAUUCAUUGAAGAUGUGUGACUUAGAGAAGUGAAGUCAUUUGCCCUCUAUUCAAAGCUAAUAAGGGGUGGAUUUAUACUCUGAACUCCCAGCCCGCCCCUGGCUCCCUUAGGAAGAGAAAUAGACAAACAAACAAACAAAACAGAUGACAGAAAGACAUACGAUUGGAGAAGGGAAUGAUGGGAAAGCCUUUUCUCUGCUAGAAAGAUGCUCAGUGGAACUUCUAUUUUGUAUUGUUUGGUUUUUUUUCAAUCCAUGCAGUAACCGAAGAGAAUUGUAUAAAAGGUGAAACUAGCAGACACUUCAGCAAGAUGGGAAUCUGUAGGUAAUUUGGAUCCAAAAUCCACUUGUGUUUCCAGGGUUUACAGUUGCUAGUUGUCAUAUGAAAGCACUUCAUGAACUUGGUGUGCCCUGUUCUCUCAGAACAGCUCUGUAGUGGACUAACUCAAGGUUAAGCCAGAAUUGCAGUCUGUCCAAUAAAAUUUGCUUUGUUCUUUUG
RNAcentral lists this long non-coding RNA (556 nucleotides) under Marmota monax (woodchuck). The record is from RNAcentral. Lineage: Eukaryota; Metazoa; Chordata; Mammalia; Rodentia; Sciuridae.